This 403-nucleotide unclassified non-coding RNA is filed under the name soil metagenome. Its description in RNAcentral is "partial contains 5.8S ribosomal RNA, internal transcribed spacer 2, and large subunit ribosomal RNA". The stretch from base 1 to 121 matches the Rfam family "5.8S ribosomal RNA", at positions 35 to 154 of the family's 154-position model. The record is from RNAcentral.
GAUGAAGAACGUAGCGAAAUGCGAUAAGUAAUGUGAAUUGCAGAAUUCAGUGAAUCAUCGAAUCUUUGAACGCACCUUGCGCCCUUUGGCUAUUCCGAAGGGCAUGCCUGUUUGAGUAUCAUGAACACCUCAACUCUUCAUGGUUUUCCAUGAUGGGCUUGGACUUUGGGGGUCUUGCUGACCUGUAGUCAGCUCCUCUCAAAUAAAUCAGCUUUCCAGUGUUUGGCAGCGUCACAGGUGUGAUAACUAUCUACGCUUGUGGUUUUCUGCCAGGUAAUCCUCAGUGAUGGGGAUUCGCUGGGGCUUAUAAAUGUCUCUCCUCAGCGAAGACAGCUUUGUGAACAUUUGAUCUCAAAUCAGGUAGGACUACCCGCUGAACUUAAGCAUAUCAAUAAGCGGAGGA